AUUGAACGCUGGCGGCAUGCUUUAUACAUGCAAGUCGAACGGCAGCGCGGGCUUCGGCCUGGCGGCGAGUGGCGAACGGGUGAGUAAUGCAUCGGAACGUGCCCAGUAGUGGGGGAUAGCCCGGCGAAAGCCGGAUUAAUACCGCAUACGACCUGAGGGUGAAAGCGGGGGACCGAAAGGCCUCGCGCUAUUGGAGCGGCCGAUGUCGGAUUAGCUAGUUGGUGGGGUAAAGGCUUACCAAGGCGACGAUCCGUAGCUGGUCUGAGAGGACGACCAGCCACACUGGGACUGAGACACGGCCCAGACUCCUACGGGAGGCAGCAGUGGGGAAUUUUGGACAAUGGGGGCAACCCUGAUCCGGCCAUGCCGCGUGCGGGAAGAAGGCCUUCGGGUUGUAAACCGCUUUUGUUCGGGAAGAAAUCCUCUGGGCUAAUACCCCGGGGGGAUGACGGUACCGGAAGAAUAAGCACCGGCUAACUACGUG
Molecule: ribosomal RNA, 484 nt
Filed under: uncultured bacterium
Lineage: Bacteria
Description: partial 16S ribosomal RNA
Rfam family: Bacterial small subunit ribosomal RNA
Source: RNAcentral